RNAcentral lists this ribosomal RNA (497 nucleotides) under uncultured bacterium. RNAcentral describes it as "partial 16S ribosomal RNA". It matches the Rfam family "Bacterial small subunit ribosomal RNA", at positions 28 to 500 of the family's 1533-position model. The record is from RNAcentral.
AACGAACGCUGGCGGCGUACUUAACACAUGCAAGUCGAACGAGGAUCGCUGUGUGAGCAAUCAUGUGGCGGUCCGAGUGGCGUACGGGUGAGUAACACGUGGGCAACCUGCCCUGGAGCCUGGGAUACCCUCUCGAAAGGGAGGCUAAUACCGGAUACGUUCCCCGGGUCGCGAGAUCUGGGGAGGAAAGGUGGCGCAAGCUGCCGCUCUUGGAGGGGCUCGCGGCCUAUCAGCUAGUUGGUGAGGUAAUGGCUCACCAAGGCGAUGACGGGUAGCUGGGCUGAGAGGACGACCAGCCACACGGGGACGGAGACACGGCCCCGACUCCUACGGGAGGCAGCAGUGGGGAAUUUUCCGCAAUGGGCGAAAGCCUGACGGAGUGACGCCGCGUGGGGGACGAAGGCCUUCGGGUCGUAAACCCCUGUCAGAGGGAAAGAAGGAUGCCGGCGCGAUAACCGCCGGUACCUGACGGUACCUUCAGAGGAAGCCCCGGCCAA